GUGGGGAAUAUUGGACAAUGGGGGAAACCCUGAUCCAGCAAUGCCGCGUGGGUGAUGAAGGCCUUCGGGUUGUAAAGCCCUUUUGGCGGGGACGAUGAUGACGGUACCCGCAGAAGAAGCCCCGGCUAACUUCGUGCCAGCAGCCGCGGUAAUACGAAGGGGGCUAGCGUUGUUCGGAAUUACUGGGCGUAAAGGGCGCGUAGGCGGCUUCGAUAGUCGGGCGUGAAAUGCCUGGGCUCAACCCAGGAACUGCGCUCGAAACUCCGAGGCUAGAGUGUGGGAGAGGAUAGUGGAAUUCCCAGUGUAGAGGUGAAAUUCGUAGAUAUUGGGAAGAACACCGGUGGCGAAGGCGGCUAUCUGGACCACAACUGACGCUGAGGCGCGAAAGCGUGGGGAGCAAACAGGAUUAGAUACCCCAGUAGUCC
This 425-nucleotide ribosomal RNA is filed under the name uncultured bacterium. RNAcentral's name for it is "bacterial SSU rRNA". It matches the Rfam family "Bacterial small subunit ribosomal RNA", at positions 354 to 796 of the family's 1533-position model. The record is from RNAcentral.